UAGGGAAUCUUCGGCAAUGGGGGGAACCCUGACCGAGCAACGCCGCGUGAGUGAAGAAGGAUUUCGGUUCGUAAAACUCUGUUGUUAGAGAAGAACAGCGCAUAGAGUAACUGUUAUGCGUGUGACGGUAUCUAACCAGAAAGCCACGGCUAACUACGUGCCAGCAGCCGCGGUAAUACGUAGGUGGCAAGCGUUGUCCGGAUUUAUUGGGCGUAAAGCGAGCGCAGGCGGUCAAUUAAGUCUGAUGUGAAAGCCCCCGGCUCAACCGGGGAGGGUCAUUUGAAACUGGUUGACUUGAGUGCAGAAGAGGAGAGUGGAAUUCCAUGUGUAGCGGUGAAAUGCGUAGAUAUAUGGAGGAACACCAGUGGCGAAGGCGACUCUCUGGUCUGUAACUGACGCUGAGGCUCGAAAGCGUGGGUAGCAAACAGG
This 429-nucleotide ribosomal RNA is filed under the name Bacteroidota bacterium. RNAcentral describes it as "Bacteroidetes bacterium partial 16S ribosomal RNA". It matches the Rfam family "Bacterial small subunit ribosomal RNA", at positions 355 to 776 of the family's 1533-position model. The record is from RNAcentral. Lineage: Bacteria; Pseudomonadati; Bacteroidota.